GACGAACGCUGGCGGCGUGCUUAACACAUGCAAGUCGAACGGUAAGGCCCUUCGGGGUACACGAGUGGCGAAUGGGUGAGUAACACGUGGGUGAUCUGCCCUGCACUUCGGGAUAAGCCUGGGAAACUGGGUCUAAUACCGGAUAGGACCCUGGGAUGCAUGUCCUGGGGUGGAAAGCUUUUGCGGUGUGGGAUGGGCCCGCGGCCUAUCAGCUUGUUGGUGGGGUGAUGGCCUACCAAGGCGACGACGGGUAGCCGGCCUGAGAGGGUAACCGGCCACACUGGGACUGGGAUACGGCCCAGACUCCUACGGGAGGCAGCAGUGGGGAAUAUUGCACAAUGGGCGCAAGCCUGAUGCAGCGACGCCGCGUGAGGGAUGACGGCCUUCGGGUUGUAAACCUCUUUCAGCACCGACGAAGCGCAAGUGACGGUAGGUGCAGAAGAAGGACCGGCCAACUACGUGCCAGCCGCCGCCGUAA
RNAcentral lists this ribosomal RNA (478 nucleotides) under uncultured bacterium. RNAcentral's name for it is "partial 16S ribosomal RNA". It matches the Rfam family "Bacterial small subunit ribosomal RNA", at positions 28 to 523 of the family's 1533-position model. The record is from RNAcentral.